ACAUGCAAGUCGAACGGCAGCGGGUAGGAAGCUUGCUUCCUAUGCCGGCGAGUGGCGGACGGGUGAGGAACACAUCGGAAUCUACUCCGUCGUGGGGGAUAACGUAGGGAAACUUACGCUAAUACCGCAUACGACCUAAGGGUGAAAGUGGGGGACCGCAAGGCCUCACGCGAUGGAAUGAGCCGAUGUCCGAUUAGCUAGUUGGCGGGGUAAAGGCCCACCAAGGCGACGAUCGGUAGCUGGUCUGAGAGGAUGAUCAGCCACACUGGGACUGAGACACGGCCCAGACUCCUACGGGAGGCAGCAGUGGGGAAUAUUGGACAAUGGGCGAAAGCCUGAUCCAGCCAUGCCGCGUGGGUGAAGAAGGCCUUCGGGUUGUAAAGCCCUUUUGUUGGGGAAGAAAUCCUGCUGGCUAAUACCCGGCGGGGAUGACGGUACCCAAAGAAUAAGCACCGGCUAACUUCGUGCCAGCAGCCGCGGUAAUACGAAGGGUGCAAGCGUUACUCGGAAUUACUGGGCGUAAAGCGUGCGUAGGUGGUGGCUUAAGUCCGUUGUGAAAGCCCUGGGCUCAACCUGGGAAUUGCAGUGGAUACUGGGUCACUAGAGUGUGGUAGAGGGUGGCGGAAUUCCCGGUGUAGCAGUGAAAUGCGUAGAGAUCGGGAGGAACACCCGUGGCGAAAGCGGCCACCUGGGCCAACACUGACACUGAGGCACGAAAGCGUGGGGAGCAAACAGAUUAGAUACCCUGGUAGUCCACGCCCUAAACGAUGCGAACUGGAUGUUGGGUUCAAUUUGGGACUCAGUAUCGAAGCUAACGCGUUAAGUUCGCCGCCUGGGGAAGUACGGUCGGCAAGACUGAAACUCAAAGGAAAUUGACGGGGCCCGCACAAGCGGUUGGAGGUAUGUGUUUUAAUUCGAUGCAACGGCGGAGAACCUUUACCUGCUCUUGAAUCCCCGCGA
RNAcentral lists this ribosomal RNA (960 nucleotides) under uncultured Pseudoxanthomonas sp. RNAcentral describes it as "bacterial SSU rRNA". It matches the Rfam family "Bacterial small subunit ribosomal RNA", at positions 53 to 994 of the family's 1533-position model. The record is from RNAcentral. Lineage: Bacteria; Pseudomonadati; Pseudomonadota; Gammaproteobacteria; Lysobacterales; Lysobacteraceae.